GACGUAGGAGGCGAGCGUUGUCCGGAUUCAUUGGGCGUAAAGAGCGCGCAGGCGGUUUGGUAAGUCGGAUGUGAAAUCCCGGAGCUCAACUCCGGACCUGCAUCCGAUACUGCCGGACUAGAGGUAGGUAGGGGAGAUCGGAAUUCCUGGUGUAGCGGUGAAAUGCGCAGAUAUCAGGAGGAACACCGGUGGCGAAGGCGGAUCUCUGGGCCUUACCUGACGCUCAGGCGCGAAAGCUAGGGGAGCGAACAGG
RNAcentral lists this ribosomal RNA (253 nucleotides) under uncultured bacterium. RNAcentral describes it as "partial 16S ribosomal RNA". It matches the Rfam family "Bacterial small subunit ribosomal RNA", at positions 524 to 776 of the family's 1533-position model. The record is from RNAcentral.